This 253-nucleotide ribosomal RNA is filed under the name uncultured bacterium. Its description in RNAcentral is "partial 16S ribosomal RNA". It matches the Rfam family "Bacterial small subunit ribosomal RNA", at positions 524 to 776 of the family's 1533-position model. The record is from RNAcentral.
UACAGAGGUGGCAAGCGUUGUUCGGAAUUACUGGGCGUAAAGGGCGCGUAGGCGGCCUUCUAAGUCAGACGUGAAAUCCCCCGGCUUAACCUGGGAACUGCGUCUGAUACUGCGGUGCUUGAGGACUGGAGAGGAGACUGGAAUUCAUGGUGUAGCAGUGAAAUGCGUAGAGAUCAUGAGGAAGACCAGUGGCGAAGGCGGGUCUCUGGACAGUUCCUGACACUGAGGCACGAAGGCCAGGGGAGCAAACGGG